Molecule: ribosomal RNA, 1436 nt
Filed under: uncultured organism
Description: SSU rRNA
Rfam family: Bacterial small subunit ribosomal RNA
Source: RNAcentral
UGAUGAACGCUAGCUACAGGCUUAACACAUGCAAGUCGAGGCUUAGCAUGGUCUUAGCUUGCUAAGGCCGAUGGCGACCGGCGCACGGGUGAGUAACACGUAUCCAACCUGCCGUCUACUCUUGGACAGCCUUCUGAAAGGAAGAUUAAUACAAGAUGGCAUCAUGAGUCCGCAUGUUCACAUGAUUAAAGGUAUUCCGGUAGACGAUGGGGAUGCGUUCCAUUAGAUAGUAGGCGGGGUAACGGCCCACCUAGUCUUCGAUGGAUAGGGGUUCUGAGAGGAAGGUCCCCCACAUUGGAACUGAGACACGGUCCAAACUCCUACGGGAGGCAGCAGUGAGGAAUAUUGGUCAAUGGGCGAGAGCCUGAACCAGCCAAGUAGCGUGAAGGAUGACUGCCCUAUGGGUUGUAAACUUCUUUUAUAAAGGAAUAAAGUCGGGUAUGCAUACCCGUUUGCAUGUACUUUAUGAAUAAGGAUCGGCUAACUCCGUGCCAGCAGCCGCGGUAAUACGGAGGAUCCGAGCGUUAUCCGGAUUUAUUGGGUUUAAAGGGAGCGUAGAUGGAUGUUUAAGUCAGUUGUGAAAGUUUGCGGCUCAACCGUAAAAUUGCAGUUGAUACUGGAUAUCUUGAGUGCAGUUGAGGCAGGCGGAAUUCGUGGUGUAGCGGUGAAAUGCUUAGAUAUCACGAAGAACUCCGAUUGCGAAGGCAGCCUGCUAAGCUGCAACUGACAUUGAGGCUCGAAAGUGUGGGUAUCAAACAGGAUUAGAUACCCUGGUAGUCCACACGGUAAACGAUGAAUACUCGCUGUUUGCGAUAUACAGCAAGCGGCCAAGCGAAAGCGUUAAGUAUUCCACCUGGGGAGUACGCCGGCAACGGUGAAACUCAAAGGAAUUGACGGGGGCCCGCACAAGCGGAGGAACAUGUGGUUUAAUUCGAUGAUACGCGAGGAACCUUACCCGGGCUUAAAUUGCAGAUGAAUUACGGUGAAAGCCGUAAGCCGCAAGGCAUCUGUGAAGGUGCUGCAUGGUUGUCGUCAGCUCGUGCCGUGAGGUGUCGGCUUAAGUGCCAUAACGAGCGCAACCCUUGUUGUCAGUUACUAACAGGUUCCGCUGAGGACUCUGACAAGACUGCCAUCGUAAGAUGUGAGGAAGGUGGGGAUGACGUCAAAUCAGCACGGCCCUUACGUCCGGGGCUACACACGUGUUACAAUGGGGGGUACAGAGGGCCGCUACCACGCGAGUGGAUGCCAAUCCCAAAAACCUCUCUCAGUUCGGACUGGAGUCUGCAACCCGACUCCACGAAGCUGGAUUCGCUAGUAAUCGCGCAUCAGCCACGGCGCGGUGAAUACGUUCCCGGGCCUUGUACACACCGCCCGUCAAGCCAUGGGAGCCGGGGGUACCUGAAGUGCGUAACCGCGAGGAGCGCCCUAGGGUAAAA